Neopsephotus bourkii (Bourke's parrot) is the source of this 5618-nucleotide RNA transcript. It is a transcript of the gene named POU class 6 homeobox 2, with no coding region annotated. The transcript has 11 exons. The record is from RefSeq and is a predicted model, not a curated record. Lineage: Eukaryota; Metazoa; Chordata; Aves; Psittaciformes; Psittacidae.
CUCACUUUAUUUACUUGGUAUUGGGUAUUUGUCAAUGUCAUUUCAUAUCUGCAGAAAAUUCAUACAUUCUAUGGAAGUAUGUAUGUGUGUGAGUGUGCUGAAGGUCACAUGACUGUUUCAUCCUAUUUGGUGGAGCAGCUUGACUUUUUUUUCCUUGCUUUUGGUGAUGGUUGUGAGUGCAGAAGUUGAUUGACAGAUGCAUGCCAGAAACCCCCAUUCUCCUUUUCAAAGACUACAUAUGAUGGAUUGCGAUCUUUCAGCUCAGCAGGACACAGGGACCAUGCAAGCUGUAAUUGGUCAGGAUCCAAUGAUAGCUGGACAAGUCAGUAAGCCCUUGCUGUCACUGCAGAGUGAAAUGAAUGCAGAGUUGAGAGGUGAGGACAAGGCAGCUACUUCAGACAACGAGCUGAAUGAGCCCCUGCUUGCGCCUGUGGAAUCAAAUGACAGCGAGGACACUCCCAGCAAGCUCUUCGAGGCCAGAGGAAACACAGUGCUGCCUGACACGAGCCCAGCAGACCAGCACCAACCCAGUCAGUCCCAUCCUGCAUUCCCUGUUGGGCCUCAGCCACUCCUGACAGCCCAACAGUUAGCCUCAGCAGUAGCAGGGGUGAUGCCAGGAGGCACUCCAGCCCUGAAUCAGCCGAUCCUUAUUCCUUUCAACAUGGCUGGGCAGCUGGGGGGCCAACAAGGGCUCGUCCUAACUCUGCCUACUGCAAAUCUCACCAAUAUCCAAGGGCUGGUAGCAGCAGCUGCAGCAGGAGGCAUCAUGACUUUGCCAUUGCAAAAUCUACAAGCUACCUCAUCCCUGAAUUCCCAGCUUCAACAGCUUCAGCAUCUUCAGCAGCUCCAGCACCAACAGCAGCAGCAGCAAAGCCAGCAGCAGCAGCAAGGUCAGCAGGCACAGACUCCACAGCCACCCCAGCAGACCCAGCAGCCACAGCCACAGCCGUCAGCACCACCGCAGCAAAACCAAACCCAGUCUCAGAGCCAGAGCCAACCGCCUCUGGCCUCACAGUCCUCCAGCUCCCCACAGAAACCCAGCCAGUCCCCAGGGCAUGGCCUUCCAUCUCCUCUUACUUCACCAAAUCCAUUGCAGCUGGUUAAUAAUCCACUAGCAAGUCAAGCAGCAGCGGCUGCAGCAGCAGCAGCCAUGGGCUCAAUAGCGAGCUCCCAGGCCUUUGGCAAUGCCCUCUCCAGUCUUCAGGGGGUCACAGGUCAACUCGUCACUAAUGCACAGGGACAGAUUAUUGGAACAAUCCCACUGAUGCCUAACCCAGUCCCCUCCAGCCAAGCAGCAGGUGGAGCUCAGGGCCUUCAGGUGCAGCCGAUAACUCCGCAGUUAUUGACCAAUGCCCAGGGUCAGAUCAUCGCUACCGUCAUUGGCAACCAGAUACUCCCAGUGAUCAAUACCCAGGGAAUAACACUAUCACCACUCAAACCAGGCCAGCAGCUCCAUCAGCCCUCCCAGACGCAAGUGGGACAAGCAGCCUCACAAUCCAAUCUCCUGCAUUUGGCUCACAGUCAAGCAUCUAUGUCUCAAAGCCCAGUGCGUCAGGCUUCCUCUUCUUCCUCCUCAUCCUCCUCCUCUUCAGCUUUGAGUGUUGGCCAGUUAGUCAGCAAUCCUCAGACAGCCACGGGAGAGGUGGAUGGGGUGAAUCUGGAAGAAAUCCGAGAGUUUGCCAAAGCUUUUAAAAUCCGGCGCCUGUCCCUUGGCCUGACACAGACUCAAGUUGGCCAAGCCCUAAGCGCCACGGAAGGCCCAGCCUAUAGCCAGUCUGCCAUCUGCAGACACACCAUCCUGAGAAGCCACUUUUUCCUACCACAGGAAGCCCAAGAGAACACUAUAGCUAGCAGUCUGACAGCCAAACUGAACCCUGGCCUUUUGUAUCCUGCCAGGUUUGAAAAGCUGGACAUCACCCCUAAAAGUGCCCAGAAGAUAAAGCCGGUGCUUGAGCGGUGGAUGGCUGAGGCUGAGGCCCGCCAUCGAGCAGGUAUGCAGAACCUUACCGAGUUUAUUGGAAGCGAACCAUCCAAAAAGCGCAAGAGGCGCACCUCAUUCACGCCACAAGCCCUUGAAAUCUUGAAUGCCCACUUUGAGAAGAACACGCACCCCUCUGGGCAAGAAAUGACAGAGAUUGCAGAGAAACUGAACUAUGACCGGGAAGUAGUUAGAGUUUGGUUCUGCAAUAAGAGGCAAGCACUGAAGAACACAAUUAAACGUUUGAAACAACACGAGCCUGCGACAGCAGUUCCUAUGGAGCCUUUAACAGACUCUCUGGAAGAAAACUCCUAAAAACAAAACUAAACCAAACCACACACAAAACAAAACCCCUGCACCAACAGAAACGUAACCAUUUGAACUCUGUGAAAAUACCUGUUCAUCACCCUUGAGGAUGUGUUUCUCCAGGUCUUUGCUGUGACCACUGGCUAGACUAAGCUAUCAGGAUAUAGAGAAACCCACUGAAUCUCCUUUGGGAAUUGUAAGGUGGGCCACCUGCAAUAUGUAACAAGUGAAUUGAUUUUCCUUUAAAGACAGUGUAUCUCUGUGGCUUCUCUUUUGACUGGACAAACAUCUUCUAAACUACUGUGAUUAUUGGACCUAUGAGUAUAUCAAGGCUCAGAGGGACAGAGAGGUGUUGCAGGUUCUUGAUGGGGUAUGGGCUGACCUGUGAAUGUCACCUGCAGUUUUCCUCUUCUGCUGAGUUCUGCUUCAGCCUUUGGGGUUCAGCCCGCUAUUAGGGUAGAAGCUGCAUCUCAAUCAGGACUUUCCAAAAGAGUACUUUGGGGAUUUGGUUCACCUCACUAUAGAGGUGGCAGAGUAAAAUUCUGCUGGUACAAUUCCUAAUUGCAUUCACUAACCACAGGAUGGUUGUACUGGAUUUUUGCUGGUCUGCGCAGGGUGUUGAAGGAUGUUCCCAAAGUGCUGGAGUCUUCAAAUAACAUCUCUCUUAUACAGUUCUCGAGAAAUCAAGGCUGUAUACAAACCUUAAGUGAAAGAAAGGGACUUCCAUUGAUUUCACUAGGCUUUGAAUCCGGCCUUGCUACUUUAUUAAUGGGGUUUGCCUUGUAGAAUGGCGUGGUUGGUGGAGCUUUAAGGUUUCAGAGACCAUCAUCUGUGCCAGAAACUGCCUCUAAAUGUGAGCACUCUCAAAGGUCAGAGUUGGAGAGCACUGAGGGUCCAGUACUCUGGGCUGGGCUCAUGUCCAGCGAAUGCAUUUUAGGCUUUAAGCUUCAGUAGGGUAUGUUUAAGGAUAUUUUCAGUAUUGCUUUUAUGUGGAGGAGAGUGAGAAUUUUUAUUGACUCUUCCGACUGUUGAUAUAUAAAUAUCUGCCAGGGAAUAAAAAAUCUCAGUAACCACAGACAAAUUGUGAGAGACAAAAAAGAUGCUUUACCCAAGCUGAGCACAUGAAGUAAAGAGUUGUACCACAACAUCUGCCUCUUUGGGUUUUCUUUUUUCCCUCUGUAUCCAUAGAUACCUAUAUCUGCAGAUCUGUCUAUGUUAUCUAUACCAGACAGCCCUAAACUUGUGGCCACAGCUCACUUUACAUAACGUUCAGGAAAGCACCCAGAAGCCAACAGGGAAUCAACGAAGAACGGAUCAUAUCUGGAAGCGGAUGCUCCUGAAGUCCUACCCAUGUCUCCAGCACGCUGGUAACUGUCCAGUCAUUAAUGCCGUAUACACCAUUACCUGUUCAGCUACCCUUGAGACUGUACAUCACCUCCUCUUGUACACCCCCAUCUCCAACAGCCUGGGAACAAAAACAUCAACCAGUCUUUGCCUAAAAACUGAAUUUCAAAUUCUCCCAGGGACUGCUCUAAAUUUUGUGAGGAGAAAUCCCCCAAGAACAAAAGUUAACUAAACAGCAUAGAAAAGAUACUAAAUGUUUAAAACUACACUGGCAGCAAUUACAUAAGCUCCUUUCUGUUCCAAAGUACAUAUGGGAAGGCUAUAAGUAGGGCAGGGAAAAUGUAAGGUAAAUAUAAACCGCCGGCUUGGAAGAAAAACCCAGUGUUCAUCCCACAGUCUUAAAACCAUUCAUGUGCAGUGAUUUUUUUUUACAGUUUUCUAAUUUUGUAUUAUGUUUUGUAAAUUAUUUCUAAGGUGUUGUAAUGCUUCUUAUAUUAAUUUUUUUAUAAACAGAUUUUUGCUAUGAGGCAUAAAUGGUGCCUGAACAGAUUCUUAGGAAGAUAAAUUACGUGUGAGUUGGACAUCUAGGGGGUUGGGGAGGGGGGAACAUAAAUAUUGUGUUUUAUUUUGCUACUUGCAACAUUUCUGGUUCCCAUUUGUAAACAAUUCUCAUGUAGCGAUUACAUUUGAAUACCUUUUAAUUUUGCAUGUGACUAAAAGAUAGAUUGCUACCAGCAAAUGAAACAAAUGUCUCUUCAGUCAUAUGUGAAGGUUUGAUGGUUUUCCAAUUUAUUGAUCAUUGAAUUUUUAAAUAUAUAUAUAUAUGAAAUUAUUAUUUGAAGAAUGAACCAAGGGUUCACUUACUGUUCUGAUUUUGUCUUUUUAUGUUUUUCACUAAAAAAGCUAUUUUGGACAGUUGAAGAAAUCAGAUGCAUUCAAAUGAUUCCAAUUUCUUUAUGUUAUUACCAAAAAUAAUGAAAAAAAAAAAAAAAAGAAAAAAAAAGAAGAGAGAGAGAGAGAAAGAAAGAAAAAAAAGAGAGAACAAGAAAGCAAAAAGGAGCUAGGAAGGAACAAGUAGAGGCGUAUCAAAGAACUCAAGCUAUAACCAAAAAGAAAUAUGUAAAAUGCCUUUGCUCGUCUUCUCAAUGCUGGACCAAAGCUCAAUGUAUGUAGGUAUAUGCACAUUGUAUAGAUAUGGCUAAAUGUUGCUGACAAUCUCGCAAUACUAAACUGUUACUAUUAUAAAAAAAAAAAAAGGAAAAAAAAAGAAAAAAGAAAAGAACUACAAAAAUGAAACUGUUCAUCAGUGUUUUACCUCAGCACUCUACUUGUACCCAGUUAUUGACCAACAUUCAAAUAAGAAGCUAAGAGAGGAAAUUGAUUUCCAUGUCAAUGUUUGACUGUAAAAUCUGUUUGGAAAACAUUUUGUAAUGAGCUUUUUGUCAUGUGGUUUGCUUGUUUCCAACUUGAGAUUAUGUGGGGCACAUCUGUUUAUUUAUUGUUAAAAAGUGAUAUUAUUAUUAUUAAUUAUUAUUAUUACUAUUAUUAUUAUUAUUUUUGUCCUAUGUGCUAUAAUCUACAGAAUGGUCACCAGGGUCACUUAUGAAGCACUGCAAAGAGAUCAUGUUUUUCCAUGCAUGGAGCAUGCAGCAGGAAAGAUGGCAGUACAAAACGGACUGUAUUGUGUUGUUAACAAAUACGAAUAACUACAAAAAGGAGUUGAUGUGGUGGACUUGUGACCAAGAAACCAAACAGGAUAUUUAAAAGCUCCUUACUACUCUGACUUUGAAACCAAAGCUGAUUUAUCUGCACAGGUUGCUUAACAUGAAAAAAACAUAAAAAAUAAAAAAACUGACAAAAACUGUACUUAAUCUAGAGCAAUAUCUGUAUGGUCAGUAAAGCUGCACUUUGUGUAUUUCUUAACAGCUUCAGAUCUGUCACUUUUAAUUUGUACCAUAAAAAAUAAAGAAUUGUUUGACAUGAAAAAUAA